AGAAGGGUAAGUUAAAAAAACUGUUUGGUUCAUGUUCAAAUAAUAUGAUUGAGGUUGUUCCUUCUU
Molecule: transfer RNA, 66 nt
Filed under: Ogmocotyle ailuri
Lineage: Eukaryota; Metazoa; Platyhelminthes; Trematoda; Plagiorchiida; Notocotylidae
Description: tRNA-Met
Source: RNAcentral